CGCUGGCGAGAUGCCUUAUACAUGCAAGUCGUACGAGAAUUUUUAAUUCAAGUGGCGGACGGGUGAGUAACACGUAAGAAUUUGCCUUUAGGAGGGGGACAACAACUGGAAACGGUUGCUAAUACCCCAUAUGCUUCCGAGUGAAAUGGAUUUUUCCGCCUAGAGAGAAGCUUGCGGCUGAUUAGCUUGUUGGUGAGGUAAUGGCUUACCAAGGCGACGAUCAGUAUCUGGUUUGAGAGGACGAUCAGACACACUGGAACUGAGACACGGUCCAGACUCCUACGGGAGGCAGCAGUAGGGAAUUUUCCGCAAUGGGCGAAAGCCUGACGGAGCAAUCUCGCGUGAGGGAUGACGGCCUAUGGGUUGUAAACCUCUUUUUUCAGGGAGGAAUAAAUGACGUGUACCUGAAGAAUAAGCAUCGGCUAACUCCGUGCCAGCAGCCGCGGUAAGACGGAGGAUGCAAGUGUUAUCCGGAAUCACUGGGCGUAAAGCGUCUGUAGGUGGUUUAAUAAGUCAACUGUUAAAUCUUGAA
This 532-nucleotide ribosomal RNA is filed under the name uncultured bacterium. RNAcentral's name for it is "bacterial SSU rRNA". It matches the Rfam family "Bacterial small subunit ribosomal RNA", at positions 34 to 606 of the family's 1533-position model. The record is from RNAcentral.